AAAGUCGUAACAAGGUCUCCGUUGGUGAACCAGCGGAGGGAUCAUUACAGAGUUGCAAAACUCCCUAAACCAUUGUGAACGUUACCUACACCGUUGCUUCGGCGGGCGGCCCCGGGGUUUACCCCCCGGGCGCCCCUGGGCCCCACCGCGGGCGCCCGCCGGAGGUCACCAAACUCUUGAAUCAUGGCCUCUCUGAGUGAUUUUAUAAAUAAGUCAAAACUUUCAACAACGGAUCUCUUGGCUCUC
RNAcentral lists this unclassified non-coding RNA (246 nucleotides) under Ascomycota sp. RNAcentral's name for it is "partial contains small subunit ribosomal RNA, internal transcribed spacer 1, and 5.8S ribosomal RNA". The stretch from base 1 to 47 matches the Rfam family "Eukaryotic small subunit ribosomal RNA", at positions 1785 to 1831 of the family's 1831-position model. Lineage: Eukaryota; Fungi; Ascomycota. The record is from RNAcentral.